GACGAACGCUGGCGGCGUGCUUAACACAUGCAAGUCGAACGGAAAGGCCCUGCUUUUGUGGGGUGCUCGAGUGGCGAACGGGUGAGUAACACGUGAGUAACCUGCCCUUGACUUUGGGAUAACUUCAGGAAACGGGGGCUAAUACCGGAUAGGAGCUCCUGCUGCAUGGUGGGGGUUGGAAAGUUUCGGUGGUUGGGGUUGGACUCGCGGCUGAUCAGCAUGUUGGUGGGGUAGUGGAUUAGCAAGGCGUUGACGGGUAGCCGGACUGAGAGGGUGACCGGGCACAUUGGGCCUGAGGAGCGGCCCGGAGUCCUACGGGAGGCAGCGGUGGAGGAUAUUGCGCAAUAGGCGGAGGCCUGAUGCAGCAACUCCGCGUGCGGGAUGACGGUCUUCGGGUUGUAACCCGCUUGCGCCUGUGACGAAGCGUGAGUGACGGUAAUGGAUAAAGAAGCACCGGCUAACUACGUG
Molecule: ribosomal RNA, 468 nt
Filed under: uncultured bacterium
Lineage: Bacteria
Description: partial 16S ribosomal RNA
Rfam family: Bacterial small subunit ribosomal RNA
Source: RNAcentral